CUUGGGGCCACUGGGGCCCUUGCGUAGCCUCCUCCUCCGAGGCCCAGGCUCCCACCUUCUUAGCACACGCAUCACCCUGCAGACGCUUCGCUCCUUCAGGAUGCUCAACAGCCACGCUCCAGGCCUACGUCUGAGCAAGAUGCUUCACGGGUUUGCAGUGUGCCCUGUCUCCCUGCUGGACUGUGAAGGCCAUGAGGACAGGGACCUUUUGUUCUCUCAUUUGCGUGCUCAGUAAGCACCUACUGUAUACCAGGCCCAGAGCUGGGCGCCAGAGUGCAACUGGGGCUGAAAUGCCCAGAGACUUCUGACUGUUCUGCCGCCCUGGCUGCCCCCGGGUGUACCCCGCAGGCCUCCUCAUGGUCCUUCAACUAAAGGACUCGUGUCUGGCGCACCAGGGAUGCUCCAGGAGCUCAGACCCCAUCAGCUCGAGUCUCGGACUUCCUGGGCCUCCCUGGCUUCUGCAGGCAGGCUCCGUGGAUUCAAGACCGAGGCCGGCGGAAGCUCUGGAAGAAGAGUGAAUUCGGCGCUGGGGGCCGCGUGGAGGAGUGCUGCCUGGGAAGCGGGCCUUGGAGCUGCUCAGCGACGGAGAAAGGCUCUCAGCCAGCCGAGGACAGAGCGCAC
This 621-nucleotide long non-coding RNA is filed under the name Sus scrofa (pig). RNAcentral describes it as "lncRNA (ENSSSCG00070019536.1)". Lineage: Eukaryota; Metazoa; Chordata; Mammalia; Artiodactyla; Suidae. The record is from RNAcentral.